CAGGAUGAACGCUAGCUACAGGCUUAACACAUGCAAGUCGAGGGGCAGCAGAUCGAAAGCUUGCUUUGAUGCUGGCGACCGGCGCACGGGUGAGUAACGCGUAUCCAACCUUCCCUAUAGUAGAGGAUAGCCCGGCGAAAGUCGGAUUAAUACUCUAUGUUUUCCAAUGCAGACAUCUAAGUUGGAACAAAGGUUUACCGCUAUAGGAUGGGGAUGCGUCUGAUUAGAUAGUAGGCGGGGUAACGGCCCACCUAGUCGACGAUCAGUAGGGGUUCUGAGAGGAAGGUCCCCCACAUUGGAACUGAGACACGGUCCAAACUCCUACGGGAGGCAGCAGUGAGGAAUAUUGGUCAAUGGGCGAGAGCCUGAACCAGCCAAGUAGCGUGCAGGAUGACGGCCCUAUGGGUUGUAAACUGCUUUUAUGCGGGGAUAAAGUUCGCCACGUGUGGCGUUUUGUAGGUACCGCAUGAAUAAGGACCGGCUAAUUCCGUGCCAGCCGCUGC
This 503-nucleotide ribosomal RNA is filed under the name uncultured bacterium. RNAcentral describes it as "bacterial SSU rRNA". It matches the Rfam family "Bacterial small subunit ribosomal RNA", at positions 25 to 518 of the family's 1533-position model. The record is from RNAcentral.